AGGUGGUAGUCUCCAAUUUCCUUGGUUUUGACAUUCAAGUUCCAUCGACGUUUGUGAUUCAAGACGCAUAUGCACCGGAAUUCAUCUCUAGACUAUGAAGGUAUGCAAGGUUCAUUUUAUGAUCCAUUGAUUUGAAGAACUAUAAUAUUUUAGAGAUGAUCAUGUGCUUCUCUUGGCCUGGGAAUAUGGUUUUUGUUCCAGGGUAUUUGAAUUUGAACAUUGAAAAAGUAUGUUCAAAUGGGUUAUAGGAGCUAGGAGUUUGGGCCUAAGUUUGCCAUAUUGCUUGCAAAAAUAUAGCUGAACGGUUAGGUGCUUGACUCUUCUGCCCCACUUAAGGAAUAAUUAACUGGAUGCAGAUAUAAAAUUAGCUUAUGAAACAGAUAUAUCAUCAUCAACUAUUUUGAUGGUUUUGGUCUCUAAAGUACCAUUUAGAGUUACAAGUUAUACUUGGUGAAUUGAGUUUCAAACUUUUAACCUUAGUUGAAUUUAUAACUUAAUUCGUUAGUUGAAUGUAUAACUUAAUUAAUUUCUUAAGCUAUGCUUAAGUUAGCAUGAUUGAGAUGUGUCUUAAAUAGAUAAACAAAAGUUAAAAUUUUCAAUCAAAAUAUAAAGCAGGCUAAAGUUGGAGAACAAAGGUAUAUUGUCACAUGCGAUAAACCGUGUUUGUCGAAUUAUUGUCUUCUAAACAAAACUUUGUCAAAUUAUGGUGGGUUCGUCUGUCAAAUAAAAUGAUUUUUGAAAAAGGAAAUGUAGAAAAAGGAAAAUAGAAUACGAAAUGAAUCUUCCUUGAAACGAUUGAUGGAAGUAUUAUAUCUUUGUUAUAGACAUUGUUUUUAGAAAAGGAGGAAGAACAUGGCAUCCAUUGAAGAAGACCAGAACUCUGUAGCCCUUUUCUUCAAUCACAAAAGCACACUCUAACAUGAUCAUACUUCUUUAAUUUCCUAAAGAUAUGAUUUGAUAUACACGAGUCCAAAUCACCUAGAGUUUUUGUUUUCCCAAAAAGUAAUUUAAUUAACAUAAUUUUCUUUUCUUGUUCUUUUAAUUACAAUUCAAAAGGUACUUUAGAAAAACAAUUAUGAAACAAAUGUGGUUAGGAUUAAAAAAGAAAAAGAAAAGAAAAGAAAAAGAAAAAGAAAAAGAAAAGAAAAAGAAAAAGUGAUUUAGAAAAGGAGCCAAUUGAAGCACCAUAUAGAAACUUUAAUUUAUGUUAUUUUUAGGUUCAUAUAUGUGAACAUGCUCUAUUUUAAACUAAACAUACAAUAUAGUUUUUCUAAAAAAAAUGUACAGUCUAAAACAGCACUUUAUUAUUUUGUCAAAAACUAUGUGCUGAAAAUAUCUUAAUAAUCACUCUAUUUCCCAAUUAAACCUAAACAAAAAGAAAAUAAUGCGAAAUUAAAGCUUCCACUAUUCAGACAUAGGUGUCACUUUUGAGCCUAUCCCUUUAUAUAUUAUGUUAAUUUGAUCCCAAUCCAAUAUUUAAUUGCAAAAUUAGGAACAAAAUCCAAUAAUCAUUGAGGUAUUAAAAUGGGUUAAAUUUUUCGUCUUAAUUGGAAAGCUAUUUGAAAUUCUAUAUAUAAUUUUUUAUAUACGUGUAGACAAUAGAGUGACACAUGUGUUGGAUUGUGUAAGAUUUGCAUAUGGUUUCAUCAAUGGUUGCUUCGAUAUCUUUCUCUUCUUUUUUCUUUUUGGAAUUAAUGCGAAACUCUAUAGAAUCUAAUUUCUUUUCUUGUUUUCUUAAUUAAAUUCUUUUCUUUUGGAGAGACUUUUAUUGCCAGGAACUUUCAAAGUUCUCAAAUUGUGUUGAAAUUCGUUAGUACAAACUUUUGUCACCUUGAUGAUGAUGGGAGAACAAAUAAAAAUGUGUUUUGCAUUAAAAUUUACAUCAAAGUCAUUCACUAAAAAACGAGAGAUCAAUACAUGAAAAACUACAUAGUUCUUUAACGAAAAAAACAAAAGAUCAAUGAGUGAAAAGUUACAUAGUUUUUUAUUUCGUUAUUUUUCAGAGUUGUGUCUAUCUAAUCUCCAAACAUGAGUUAAAAAGUAUUCAAUAAAAAGUUGUUAAAUUUUUGAAGAGGUAUUAAAUUUGAAGGUAUAUCAUUCGUUAGAGUUCAUGGUUUCCUCGAAAAUUGAUUUUAUUAGUUUAGUAUUUUUGAAAUCGUCCUCUGGAGCCUAAAUCCUUAAUUUCUUAAUCACUUUGCUUGUCCCCUAAGUUAGAAAAGAAACCCCUAAAACUCAGCUCAAUUUCAGUGAGUAUAACACUGCAAGUUUAUCCAAUUAAUUGACACAUCCUAACCACGGAAGUUUUGCCAUAUUGUACUGCCAAGUAUGCCAACAUGUGCCACAUAAGCACUAACUAUGCUAAUACAGACUUUGAUAUUAAUGAAAAUGAACAUCAAAUAUAAUAAUAUAAGUUCAACAUGAAGGGUACAUGAAAGGUUGAUCAAACAUACUUUUCAAGGAAGUGCUAAUUACAGCACUAAACAAAGGUGUUGUAUUUCAUGAAUUGAACUAAAAUGUAUAAAUGUGACCCUUUUAAUUUUUUUUAUUUAUGUUAGUUUGAUUUGCUAACACUCAAACUAUUUCAAUUAAGGUAGAAUUUCGUAGACUAUUAAACUCUACAAACUAGUAGCUGAAGUGAUAGCGCAGUGAUGGCCAAAGUUGGUCACAUAAACGAUGGUUAGAGUUGGUUACAAGUAGUCAUUGUUGAAAUCGGGCAUCAUAGAUAAUGAUUAUUGAAAUUGGUCACUCGGUGUGACCAUCAAAGUUGUCUGUGGUGGUGGUUGUCAUUGGAUGGGGACAUUUUUUUACUUUUAAAAAAUACGUGUUUUAACAUUGAAUGAAUUAUUAUAACGUAUCCAAUCCAUUUCGAAUGAGAGCUUAAAACCUAUUUAAAAAUUAGAAGCAUAACACUUAUAAUAUUAACUUUGUUAAUGAAACUUACAGGACUUAUAAUUAUUUUUAUAUAAAGAAAGUUAUAAUUAUUUGGUAAAGAAAAAGUAGUAUUUAUUUAUUGAGAAGACAUUUUAACUUUGAUAACACAGGAAAAACUUGGAUUAUGCCAACAAUUAUUGUAAAUAAUUAUUCUAAAUUCAUGCACAACUUCCAAAAUUUCAUAUGUCCAUUCUCUUGAUUGAAGCAUAAUAAUUUAUUAUAUUAUAUUGCAGUGUGUUUUCCAUAGUAAUAAAAAACAAUUUGUAUAGCAUAAGUUAAAGGUAAAUUGAUAAUAUUUAUUAUGUAUUGGUUGAAGUGGGAAGUUUAAAAGUGGUAUAAAAACGAUAAAGAAAAGAUUGGGAUUGAGGUGUGAAAAAGAAAAAAUGAAAAGAGUCAUAUGGAACCCAUUUAAAACUGUUACUGAUAAUAUGAUUAAUUGCGUAAGGAAUAUAAUUCCAACUGUCAAGUCCUUUUCUAACUAAACCAUCUUAUUAUUCUUAAUUAAACAAUCUCCUACCCUUCCCUUCUUCACCUACUUAACUUAAUAUCUUUAUAUCAUUAUUGUACUAUACUAUAUAUAUUAUAUCAUAUCUGCUUCAUUAUAUAUUCAUUCAAUUUAUUAACAGUAGUUUUGGACCCAAUACAUCUAAUUAACGUUUGGUAAAUUUUAGAGGCAAUUUCAAAAUAAAUAAAUGAAAUCCAACUAGCUCCAUCACCCAGUUCGGCUUGGGAACAUAACAGAUUGGUCCACGUCUAUCUAAAUGAGCAUUGAUGGUGGAAAACCAACUAUUUAAUACUCAAAGUUUGGUUUGAAAAAGUCAUUAAUGUAAUUGAAUUUUCAAAAAAAGAAAAAGGAAAUUAAACUCUAAAUAAUAAUUGGGAGAAAACUUGAGGUUCACAAUUGUUUUUGGAAUCACCACCCUGAUUCCCACAUAAUUAAAGGGAAAAUUUUGGAAGGAUGAUGAAGAAUAAAUGGGGGGGUGGGGAGGAGGACAAAGAACAUCACAUCCACCUCCCCGUCCUAUCCAUGAACAUCUCUAACUAUCUUCAUUUCCCUUUAAUUUACCAAUCAAUUCUCUUUAACUUCCACUCUCAUUUCCUACUUUGUCGAGGUCGACUCUACCGCAAAAUAAGCAAAUGCAAUACUUAGAUUAGACGUUUUUUAUAAAUUUAUUCCAUCAAUUUUAUUUGUCUGGUCCUACAAUAUUUGAGUAUCAUUCGUUGUGUUCUUCAUGAAUUGAAUCUAAGACCUUCUAGUUAUUUUUUGAGAUUAUGAUUAGUUUUUCUUUCUUUUAAGGCCAUGUUUUUCUCUCUCUAAACAAAUUUAUUGUUGUGGUUAUCCGAUAGUCAAACCUUUUUUUUUUGUUAGAUUUUUGGAAGAAUAUUAAAAGUUUAGUUGUCAUGCAUUAAGAAAAAUUGAGGAAAAUCAUGAGUUUUUUCUACAGGGUAAGAAAAGUCAUAGUCUAAGGAACCUAUGCCUUUGGUUUUCAAUGGUCUAUUAGAAACAAUUUAAACUUUAAUUUUAAUUAAAUUACUUUUGUAUUCUCUAAUUAGAAAGUGAAAAAAAAGGAUGUAUCAGUCAAAAGCUUGACAGAGUGUCCUUGUAAUUGGGGUUAGUAAAAAUUAAUUAUUUUUUGUGAUGGUGGUAAAUUUUCAUAUAAUAGAUUUAUUUAUUAUUCAUGGUUUUUUUCUACGAGUUAGAAUUUUUCACGUAUUUUCAAUUUUUAUUGGUUUUUUCUUUUUAAAUUUCUCAAUCAUUUCUAUGCUGAUUUUGUGCAGUGUAGAAGUGGGAGUCUUUUCCUAACAUUUUUCUAUUCAGAUCUUGACGUUAAGAAAACAACUAAUAUAUUACUAUUUUUUUUCUUUUCUUGUGAACUUUGAACAUAUAUAAAUCUUUUAUGUUGUUUAGGUAUUCAGAGAAUAUACUGAGUAUACUUGUUAUAAGAAAAAAAAAUGUCUAUCUACUUAAGAAAAUAUCAAAUUUUACCGUUUUGGAUGAUAUCAAUUGAAACUUUAAUACUCUAUCAAUUUAAACUCUAAACUUUGGUUAGCAUGUACAAAAUUCACACCAUUAUUUAUAUUUUGUUCGAAAAAUAUUUUGUAAAACUUAUAAUUAUUUUAACCAAAUUACUUCUAAAUUAUGUAUCACAAUCAAUCUAGAAUCUUUGUUAAGAUUAUACGUGAAAAUUGUCCAUUGAUCAAGCCUUACACGUAUACACACUUCUUCCAAAUACUUUGGAUAUUAGUAAAAUGAACGAUAAGAAUUAGUGCAUGGAUAUAUUUAAGAAAAAUCUCAUCGAAGAUUUAAAUUAAGUCAUUUAUGAAAGUUUAGAGUUUAGCGGUUGACAAAAUAAUACAAUGUUUAUCCAAAUAUAAUAUAACGAAAAAUGAUAUAACUAAGCUUAUAUCAAUAUCUAUAAAAGCUCACGAUUCUAAUUUUGACACAACCUUGAACAUUAAAAAAAAAAAAAAGAUGUUUUCAUAUAUAAAUUACAACUUCUAAAAAAAAUCAUCAGGUGCAUGUAGACUUAGGAAAACAACUUUCUUAUUAGAAAGUAUUUUAAAUUGAUAAUUACAUGUGGUAUUAGUUCAUAUGAACCUAAUUUAGAAGAGAUAACACCAAUGAUUAAAUUAUAUAUAUGAAAAAAGAAAAGGAUAGAUCAUACUCUAUUUUGGUGGAAACUCAUUUUGAGGUUGCUUUUUGAAAUUAAGUGUUCUUCUUUUUUUUUUCCUCAUUUUGUUUGGUUUUAGGAAUAUAGGGAAAUUAAAUGAUGAUAAAGAAACAAAGAUUGUUCCAAUUUUGCAAAUAUUAAUUACUAUACACAUACAAUUAAGAGAGCCAAUGAGAGUUUAGUGAUGUUGAUAUUACUAAUACUCUGAAUUAUUAUUACAAUUAAUUAAUCAAGCAAAUUUGUAGCAAUUUAUUUAUCUAUCCUACCAUAUAUAUAUAUAUAUAUAUAUUCAUUCUUUUUUUUUUUUAUUAAUCAUUUUAUAAUUUUAUUAGUUUUGUAUACUUUUCAAAUUUCCUGCUGGGAAGAAAUGGAAACAUCCAAAAACUGAAGUUAAAAAACAUUCCUUAAUUAAUUAUAUAUGGGAAGACAUUUUUCAUUUGGCUGCAUUCAUCUGCCCCAAAUCCUAUUUAUUUUUUAAUUACCAUAUCUCAUAUAUUACCUUUUUUUAAUAGGAACACUUCUCUCUACACUCUUUUGUUUUUAUAAUUCUUCCUCUUUUAUACAUAUGAGACGUAUUUUAAUUUGGAGAGAGUUCAAAUCUCAAUCACCUCCAAAUGUUUUAUUGAAUUAUAUCUAUGAAAUGCUACAAGAAUUUAAAUAUAUUUUUGGUCUUCCAAAUUUGAUUUAGCUAGGUUGCAACAUUUCUAAGUUUUCAAACAGAGUCGAUAACAUUCACGAAUUCUCUAUUAGUUUUUAAAUUUCUCUCUCUUUGUUAAUUAUUAAUGGAAAGUUGAUGGGCACAUAUAUUUUAUUCUAUUAAAAAAUGUUAAAUUUUUAAUUUUAAUUUCUUUAAUUCUUCUUUAUCUCUCAUCCUUCCCUUUCCCUUUCCCUUUCCCUUUCCUUCUUUCAUCUUCUUCCUUCACCAUCAACAGUAGCCAUCGAGGUGUAUGGUUGUUGGUGGUGACACUGGCGACUGUUGUAUUAUUUUUCUUUCCUCCCCCCCAAUAUCUAAUUGCUUCUUCUUCUUCUUCUUCUAAUUAAUUUUCCCUUCCUCUCUCUUUUAGUAUAUAUUUUUAAGUGAACUGUGAGACAACACAAAAAAUAUAUAUACAUAGACACACACACACCUAUAUCUCAUCAUGAUACCCCGACCGUUUAUAUGUUGAAGCCCAAGUUGAAACUUAAAGAGACUUCCAUUUUAUCCAAACAAGUUUCUUCAAGUUUUAAGAUAUCUUUUUAAAGCCAAUCUAAACGUAUAAAUUAUCCAAACAAUUAAAAUAUCAUUCUCAAACACUCAAAUCCUCAUCACUUCCCUGUGUUGUUGAACUUAAACAAACUCAACAUCUUUCGUUGAUUGGAUAAGAAUAUGAUUGUUGGCUAAUUAUCUUUUUUUCAUUUUCAUUAAUUACAUUAAAAAAAAGCCCAACACCAUCCUUUUUUAAACAUAAAAGAUAUGAAUUAAUUAUAAUUAGGGCAUUUUCAAAUAUAUCAAAUGUGUAUCAUAAUAUCUUUCAACUGUUUAAAUUAAACUUUGGUCACUUUUUAACUUCAUCUACACAACCUGGUAUGCGACCGAAUUAAGGUAUAGAUUCAUUACAUAAUUAAUUAGCAUUGGUUUUAAGAGCAAUGAAAAUAAAUUGACUAAGUUUAUGAAUGUUUGAUGGAAUGGGCCACAAUUAACCGGUAUCAAAUAAUAAUACUGAAAAUUAUGGUGGGUGAAAAUUUUAGAAUAUUGAUAUUUUAAGUGUCACAUAUUUUUAUUUUCAUUUUGAUAUGACACUUCUUAAUUAGUGUAUGAAGUGUAUCGAGUAUAUCGAAUGUAUAUGAUUAGUAGUGUAUCAUGUGUAUCAAAUGUAUCAAGUGCGUCAUGUGUGUAUCAAGUGUGUAUUAGUCGUAGGAUACACUAGAUGACCACCAAACACUUUAGUCGUGAUGACCUUUGUAAAUGGAUGAGCAAGGUUAUCUGUAGAGACUAUCUGAGUAACUACCACAGUCUUGGAUAGAUUUGAACCAUAGGGUCGAGAACUUUAGGCAAGUUCUCUUUAUGUUUGCCAAAAUAAGCAUCCCUAGUCCGUCAUAGGCAGAAAAGUGAUUGUGUGGAAAGACAUUGAUAGAAGAGUCAAAUACGAAAAUAGAAUAGCUAGUUUUCCGUGUGGAAACUGAAAAAGCAAGAGAAAAACGAAUAGGGUAGGACUUAUUAAUAUGAAUCCAGAAGAGAGCAAACUAUCAAUAAAGAGAAAGGCUUGAACGUGAAAUGGUUUUUUUUUUUUUUUUGGGGGGGGGGGGGGGGGGGGGGGGGGGGAGAGGGGGCAACAUUGUUCAUUGAGGCGGCAUGAGAAAUUUCCACCCACUUGGUGUACUAUCUCCUAGUGAGAUGAUAUUUUCGCUUAGUAUGUUUUCCACAUUUAUGGCUUUUGAACUCUUUGGAAUUUACAAUUGAAUUAUUUUCACAAUAAAGAGUGACAAGAAGAUGCAUAUUUGGAACAACUUCCAAAUCUAUUAAGAACUUCGAUUUUACUGCUUCUUUUGAUGCCUUGCUGCUUUGUAGGCAACUACACAUAUUCAACUUCCAUUGUGGAGUCAACAAUGUAACUUUGUUUGAUAUUUUGCUAGACUAUUGCUCCUCUAUACAAAGAGAACACCAAACUUUACUAGAUUGAAAAUCAGAUUCAGUGUAUUCUGUAAGGAUCAGAUUUCCACCCCCAUAUACAAGCACAUAGUCCCUCGUUCUCUAAAAAUACUUGAGGAUAUUCUUAACGAUGGUCCAAUGAUUAUAUCCUAGGAUUAGACUAAUACCUGUUGACUAUCCCUAUGACUAGCAUAUGUUAGGUCGUGUAUAACACAACAUACAUCAGGCUACCAACUGCUAAUGCGUAAUGAAUGUGUCUCGUAUCCUAACCUUCUCGAGGUGUCUUAGAAAAUUGUUCCUAUGGUAAAUGAAUUCCAUGUCGAAAAGACAAAACCCCUCUUUUGGAGUUCUGCAUCUUAUAAUUACUAGACAACAUUUUGUCAAUAUAAGUUGUUUAAGACAUGGCUAGCUAGUGUUCUGUUCCAAUGAUUUCGAAUAUUUGGAUCUCAAGAAAGUAUUGUGCUUCUCUCAAAUCUUUCAUUUGAAACUGUGUAGCUAACCACUUUUUAGUGUUAGUCAAGUAUCCUAUAUAGUUUCUAAUGAGUAGGAUGUCAUCAACAUACAACACUAAGAAUGCCACAGUUGCGUUAACAAUCUUCUUGUAGACACAAGAUUUGUCAAUAUUAUGGACAAAGCGAUAAGAUCUUAUCGUAUUGUCAAAUCUUAUAUUACAGGAUCUAGAAGAUUGUUUCAACCCAUAAAUGAGUUUGUUCAACUUAUAAAUCUUUUAUUCUUGGCAUUAUUCUACAAACCCCUUUGGUUGAGACAUAAAUAUUUUUGUCAAGAUAACCAUUUAGGGUCGUUUGGGGCAAGAAGUGAGUUAUUAUAGUCUUGGGAAUAUAAUAGCCUGCAUUUGAGAAUUAUAAUAGUCUGCGUUUGCUAUGCAUAGUACUUAGUCUGGGUUAUUAUAAUAUGUGUUUGGGAUCAAACUAUUAUAGUUUGUGUUAUUAUAAUAUAUGUUUGGGCUGGAAAUCACUAUUAUAAUAUGAGUUUUGCACAAUUCUUUUUUGGGGUGCAAACUAUAUUAUAGUUUAUGUUUGGGGUGGAGACUAUUAUAAUAUUGGUUUCUCACUACUCAUUUUUUGCAUACAUAUAUAUUGUGCAUUCAAUUGAUUUUAUCAAAUUUGAUUAAUUAAGAUGUUCAUUUAAUAAAUUUAGCUUUAAACUGGGAUUUUGACUUCUGUGAUCGAGCGCCUAAUUAGUGCCAACAUAGAAAAUUGGACAAAGAAAAGGUCAACAAACAUAAAUGAUAUUACAAUUUUUUAAUUUUUUUAAUGUUACAAGAUUUUUUAUCUAAUUUUUUAAUUAAACUAAGUAUUCAAAUUUAUAUAUGAACAAAAUUCAUUAGAUGAUAUUUCUUGUGGCAUAAUUAAAAUUUGUAAAAUAUAUAAUAACCCUUCGGAGGAGUAAGGAAUAGUGAUAUAGGAAAAAUGAGAGUGAUGAAUGGUGAUAGAGGAGAAAGGAGGAAGUGAGAAAUUGUGACAUACGAAAAAUAGGAGAAUGAGUAUAAUAAUCCUAAUCCUAAUUCUAGGGUUAUAAUAACCCUUGGGCCAAACAUGAGAGUUUGCUAAAAUAGCUCACUCCACUCUUUCAUAGUACGAGGGGCAAACAACCCCUCAAGAAUGUAGUCUUGAAAUUCUUUUGUUAUAUCUUAUAGUCAUAAAAUGUGAUAAUUAAUAAAAGUAUUGUAAUAGACUUUAGCAUAGCAAUAGGACAGAAGAUUUCUUCAUAGUCUACUUCUCUCUCUUUGGGUACCACAAGUUUAACUUUAAAGGUCUGUACCUUACAAGUUACAUCUCGUUUUCUCUUGUAGAUCCAGUUGCAACCAAUAGGUUUUAACUUAUAUGGUUGAUUACAAGUUCCCAGACUGAAUUGAAGUAAAUUGACUCCAUUUUAAGGUCCAUAAUUUUUAUCCAUUGUUCUCUGUCAACAUCACUCAUUACCUAUUUAAAGGUCAAUUGAUUCCCGAACUCAUCACCAAGUAUGAAAAGUUGUGUUUCUAUUAAACCUAUGUAAUGAUCAGGUUGAUGGAUAACCCUCUCACUAUGUCGAGGUGCCCUCAACUCUUAAGAAGAAUGUGAUUGAUUAGAAGUACUACUUCCAUUAACUACUUUAGUAGAAAUAUUAGUUUUAUCACAACUUUUGUUGAUUUAUCUGUAGCAUCUUUAAAAAUCUCAUUCAAUACCAGUUUACUACAAGAUUGAUGGUUUCUAAUAAUGUGGUCUUCCUCUACGAAUGUAACAUUUUUGAUACAUACACUCUCUUCUCUUGUGGAUCGUAGAAUAAACCAUAUUUUGUUUCUUUUGGGUAACCUACAAAUAGGCAUAGUUUUGGUCGACUUUUCAAUUUGUAAGGUUUUGCACCAACACAUCCCCAAUUUGAAGCAAUUUAAGCUAACUUUACACUUUUUCCAAACUCAUACGAUGUUUCUGAAACACUUUUAAAUUGAAUGUUAUUCAAAUUAUCGACAACAGUCUCUAAUGCAUGUCUCCAAAAGAAUUAGACAACUAGGUAAAGCUCAUCAUGGAGCAAACCAUGUGAUUGGUGAUAUAAUUGAUACCUACGUUAUAUAAUGCCCAAGAAAAAUAAUUCACUAACAUUGAAAAUUUAAGCAAGUUUCCAACUUAGUACUGAUCUGCAACACUCCUACUAUAGUGCCUCACGUAGAGCUAACUUAAUGAUCACUUAGGCUUGAUAACGUGUAUAAAUACCUGUUAUUAUAGUUUCUUUUAUUAAAAUAAUGAGAUCAAAAUGUAUAAGAAAAGGAUCAAAACACAUAACUUAUGUGGUAAAAUACAUAAGUAUUUAGAAAUACAUCCUACAUAAGCAUUAUGCAUGUUUUACGCGAUUGUCAUGUCUAAACGCAGGAUGAGUAGAAAGGAAGAAACUAGUGAAUCAAAUGGGACAUCUCGCGCAAGGCCUAUGCGAUGAAAACUCAUUUGGCGAUUAACAUCACCUUCAGACGAGAGGAACCACAUCAUCACGUGAGGAAGAUUUCCUAUGUGUUUGCCUAGCAUUAAGAUAGUGAAGCUAUCUCUAUGUGCACAUAAAAAGGUAUGGCAAGUCUAGAACUAAGUAUGUGUUCACUUAGGCAAACUCUUUGGUGUGAGAUGCUUAUACAGAUUGUUGCAGUCGAGUGUGUGAGUUUUGUCCACAUCCAAGAUGGGAGUCAACUGAGUGUUGUGCACUUAGGCACUGGGAGUUUGAGUUUGCAUGCCUACACCAGUAACUAGGAGUGUUUAGUAUGUUUCAGUGUUCAAAUCUAGAUACAUUGAGCAUGUGUUCGCCUUGAGAGAUGUGAAUAGGUUCAAGCUAAUGAUUGUUUUGCAUGAAACGUUUGGUGAUGACUCAUUACUAGAUGAGUGUCUAAGGAAGAAAAUUAUUUUAAAACUUGGUUUCUUUGCGUUGUGUUUGUUUUCUCAAAGAGUUUCUGGCAUCUCAAGGAUCUGUUAUUUGUCAUGUAGCACAGUGUGUCUGUAUUGUUUCUUUUCCUUUUACUUGUUAUUUUAGUUGUUUUAGAUGUUGUUUGUGCUUUUUGCGUGACCUUUGUGAAUGAGAAAGAGAUGUGGGGCCUUUUUCAAAAAACUUAACCUCAAACAUUAAGGAGUGAAUUUGAGAAUAUAGAAAUUAUAUCUAAGCUAGGCUGAGGUUAACUCUACCUCUUACAAGUUUUAAUAAUACUCUUUUUGGUCUCCACUAAUAAAUUUAUUCAACUAAGAAAGGAUGACUUUUAAUUAAUAGUUUUGGGAUGACAUGGAAAAUUUUAUAACUAAAAUAUAUUGAUCUUCCUCCCUUUCUCUAAUUUGUUUGUAACGCCCCUACAUCUGAUCAUCUCUAACACUCUUAUUGCCUCCUCUUAAAAAGAUAAGGAGAUGGAACAUUAGGGUGUGCAAGAAGUAUAUGCCAAUAUUAAAGUAUUGAUUAUAUUUCACUAUUAAUUGUUAUUAGAUUCAACAUAACAGUGAUUAUUGAAGAUGUGAUGGAAGAAUAAUGUGAGUUGGAGAAAGAUGGCAGCACCGAAUACAAACAAGCUGGAUAUCAUAAGCAUUUCAUGAGAAAGAGACUACAGUUUGUGGGGUGGAAGACGAAGAAACAAAAACAUUUUCUUUAGAAUAUGUGAAAGGUAUAGUUUUGUAGUACAAGUUUUAAUUGGAAGGUAAAAUAUAGGUUUCAAAAUUAAUGGUUAGGGUAAAAUUAAUGUAAAUAAUGAAGAGGAAAUUAAGGGUCCAAAUAUUAGGCUCCUAAAGUUUGGUGAAGAUUACUAGCUAGGGGUGAUUUCAAGUAUUAAUUAAUUGAUGUGGAGAACUAAAACUCCACCAACUUAAUAAAUAAAUAACAAUCACAAUAACAAUAAUAAUAACCUAUGGGUUUUAAUAUUUGAUGUGAAGUCUCCUCAAUAAUAAUCUCUUCAUUUGAUUCGGCG
RNAcentral lists this long non-coding RNA (12655 nucleotides) under Cucumis sativus (cucumber). Its description in RNAcentral is "long non-coding RNA (CSAT_LNC001068)". Lineage: Eukaryota; Viridiplantae; Streptophyta; Magnoliopsida; Cucurbitales; Cucurbitaceae. The record is from RNAcentral.